ACGGGGUGCAGCAGGCGCGAAAACUUUGCAAUGUGCGAAAGCACGACAAGGUUAAUCCGAGUGGCCUCUGCUGAAGAGGUCUUUUGACAGUCCUAGAAACACUGUCGAAUAAGGGGUGGGCAAGUUCUGGUGUCAGCCGCCGCGGUAAAACCAGCACCUCAAGUGGUCAGGAUGAUUAUUGGGCCUAAAGCAUCCGUAGCCGGAUCUAUAAGUUUUCGGUUAAAUCUAUGCGCUCAACGUAUAGGCUGCCGGAAAUACUGUGGAUCUAGGGAGUGGGAGAGGUAGACGGUACUCGGUAGGAAGAGGUAAAAUUCACUAAUCUAUCGAUGACCACCUGUGGCGAAGGCGGUCUACCAGAACACGUCCGACGGUGAGGGAUGAAAGCUGGGGGAGCAAACCGGAUUAGAUACCCGGGUAGUCCACACCCUAAACGAUGCACACUUGGUGUCGGCCCGUUGGGGUCGGCGCCGGAGCUAACGCGUUAAGUGUGCCGCCUGGGAAGUACGUACGCAAGUAUGAAACUUAAAGGAAUUGGCGGGGGAGCAC
This 546-nucleotide ribosomal RNA is filed under the name uncultured marine archaeon. RNAcentral describes it as "bacterial SSU rRNA". It matches the Rfam family "Archaeal small subunit ribosomal RNA", at positions 325 to 879 of the family's 1478-position model. The record is from RNAcentral.